Molecule: ribosomal RNA, 253 nt
Filed under: uncultured bacterium
Lineage: Bacteria
Description: partial 16S ribosomal RNA
Rfam family: Bacterial small subunit ribosomal RNA
Source: RNAcentral
UACGUAGGGUGCAAGCGUUAAUCGGAAUUACUGGGCGUAAAGCGUGCGCAGGCGGUUUUGUAAGUCUGACGUGAAAUUCCCGGGCUCAACCUGGGAAUUGCGUUGGAGACUGCAAGGCUAGAAUCUGGCAGAGGGGGGUAGAAUUCCACGUGUAGCAGUGAAAUGCGUAGAGAUGUGGAGGAACACCGAUGGCGAAGGCAGCCCCCUGGGUCAAGAUUGACGCUCAUGCACGAAAGCGUGGGGAGCAAACAGG